This 465-nucleotide ribosomal RNA is filed under the name uncultured Klebsiella sp. RNAcentral describes it as "bacterial SSU rRNA". It matches the Rfam family "Bacterial small subunit ribosomal RNA", at positions 338 to 795 of the family's 1533-position model. Lineage: Bacteria; Pseudomonadati; Pseudomonadota; Gammaproteobacteria; Enterobacterales; Enterobacteriaceae. The record is from RNAcentral.
CCUACGGGAGGCUGCAGUGGGGAAUAUUGCACAAUGGGCGCAAGCCUGAUGCAGCCAUGCCGCGUGUGUGAAGAAGGCCUUCGGGUUGUAAAGCACUUUCAGCGGGGAGGAAGGCGUUAAGGUUAAUAACCUUGGCGAUUGACGUUACCCGCGGAAGAAGCACCGGCUAACUCCGUGCCAGCAGCCGCGGUAAUACGGAGGGUGCAAGCGUUAAUCGGAAUUACUGGGCGUAAAGCGCACGCAGGCGGUCUGUCAAGUCGGAUGUGAAAUCCCCGGGCUCAACCUGGGAACUGCAUUCGAAACUGGCAGGCUAGAGUCUUGUAGAGGGGGGUAGAAUUCCAGGUGUAGCGGUGAAAUGCGUAGAGAUCUGGAGGAAUACCGGUGGCGAAGGCGGCCCCCUGGACAAAGACUGACGCUCAGGUGCGAAAGCGUGGGGAGCAAACAGGAUGAGAUACCCCAGUAGUC